Molecule: ribosomal RNA, 557 nt
Filed under: uncultured Tardiphaga sp.
Lineage: Bacteria; Pseudomonadati; Pseudomonadota; Alphaproteobacteria; Hyphomicrobiales; Nitrobacteraceae
Description: bacterial SSU rRNA
Rfam family: Bacterial small subunit ribosomal RNA
Source: RNAcentral
ACGGGUGAGUAACGCGUGGGAACAUACCUCUUGGUUCGGAACAACACAGGGAAACUUGUGCUAAUACCGGAUAAGCCCUUACGGGGAAAGAUUUAUCGCCGAGAGAUUGGCCCGCGUCUGAUUAGCUAGUUGGUGGGGUAAAGGCCUACCAAGGCGACGAUCAGUAGCUGGUCUGAGAGGAUGAUCAGCCACAUUGGGACUGAGACACGGCCCAAACUCCUACGGGAGGCAGCAGUGGGGAAUAUUGGACAAUGGGCGCAAGCCUGAUCCAGCCAUGCCGCGUGAGUGAUGAAGGCCCUAGGGUUGUAAAGCUCUUUUGUACGGGAAGAUAAUGACGGUACCGUAAGAAUAAGCCCCGGCUAACUUCGUGCCAGCAGCCGCGGUAAUACGAAGGGGGCUAGCGUUGCUCGGAAUCACUGGGCGUAAAGGGUGCGUAGGCGGGUUUUUAAGUCAGAGGUGAAAUCCUGGAGCUCAACUCCAGAACCGCCUUUGAUACUGAAAGUCUUGAGUAUGGGAGAGGUGAGUGGAACUGCGAGUGUAGAGGUGAAAUUCGUAGA